GCUAACUUUCAGGAUUGAUCUGAUCUGUAAGGACUGUGGAGAAGAGUUCUGCACUGGAAAGAAUUCCUUCGCCCUACCCGGAUGGCCAAAGGAUCUCCCACUGUGCUACUGUAGCCCAAUUGCUGUUUUAAGUUUAGCUUAGCUCUUGAGCAACAGCCAAGUGCUGUGGUUCAAAGUGAAGACUGAUCCAUUCCUGCAGCAGCAGAUAGGUUUGUUGGAAUCCCAUAGGACAAGAAUUGUUUCGAUGUUGAGAAUUUUGCUAGCAAUGCUAAAAUAAUUGCAUUCAGUGUUGCUUUCUUAAAUGCAUUUGUAUAUAUAUAUAUAUAUAUAUAUAUAUACAUAUAUAUUUGUGUUUAUAUAUAUGUACACAAAUGUGCAUCGGCAGCACCUGUUACAGUGGUGGAUCUGGUGUUUUCAUCGUGUGGCGGUGUGCGCUGAUGAAUCUCCGUGCCGUUCAGCUUGUGAGUUGCAGUUUCCUGGUCGUAGGUGUGAACUGUGGAGCAGGAGGAUCGAUUAGGUUUUCUCUUGCUGUUUCUGGUUUACUCUAUGAGCAGUAGUCCUUCAGAAAUGCUUGCAGCACAGUCUAAAAUUGCCACAGUGGUCCAUGAUGUUUAGUUAAACUUUAGACUAAUCAUGGUAGUGCUCGAAUGAUUUAAGGUCGGAGGGGUUUGAUUGUAGAACUGUCAAGAGUGGUCACUCACUUGACAGUUUUCGUCAUUUCCAUGCGAAGGUUUAGAAUAUGUUGCUAGAUAGACUGAUUGAUCUGCACCAGUAUCUCAAAUCUGUCGAGGUCAAGCAAGAGGAAUGGAACUGAUACGUGAACCCGAAAGUGAGAACGUUUCUUUUGGAUGACGCCGUGGAUCAUAACAGGAUGCCAGAAGACAUUUGAGCAUCCGUGAAACAGGUAUUACGGUUGUUGUUGAACAAAAUUCUGCCUCUGGUCUGAAGGUCUUGUAACCACAAAUGAAGCAAUUCAAUGAGGAACGUGCUAGAGAGCUGCAUUAUUACCUUCUUCCCCUUUGAACUCGUACUUUGAAGAUGGAGUAGUUCUUGUCACUAACAAUAUAUGUGACAUAUUUUUUUUCUUUUUUGAGCAAAUGGGUAUCAAAACUUGAUACACAGCUGGCUGUUGGUCGACGAUGUGUUGAUCGGAGUCUGUAAUGUUAAUACCAAUGCAGCAAGUUUAACAGCAAUACAUGCAUCUAUUGUCAGAUACAAGUUAUUGUUAGUGAUUGUCGACACUACUGCUAUGAUUAUGGCGAGGUUCUGUGCUUUAAUUGUGCUUUAACUUAUCUUCCUCUAGAAGAUCUAGGACACGUUCUGCCCGUUCGGGUGUCCGAGAGAGGUUAACAAACAUGGAGGGCAGCUCAACUACUUGGUAUUGAGGUAGCCAUGGAUCUAGAGGGGUAGUGACAGAAGAAUCUUCUUUCAAGUCUGCUGGUUAUAAUCGGUUUGAAUGGAGCAAAACUUAAGAAGAAUUUGAUUGGGGUUGCAUAGAGUUACAGCCACAGUACAUGUAAACACACACAGCAAAUUUUCGACAAGCAAAAGAUUCACAGUUCCUGCAAA
Molecule: non-coding RNA, 1569 nt
Organism: Physcomitrium patens
Lineage: Eukaryota; Viridiplantae; Streptophyta; Bryopsida; Funariales; Funariaceae
Source: RefSeq, a predicted model, not a curated record